GUGAGGAAUAUUGGACAAUGGGCGCAAGCCUGAUCCAGCCAUGUCGCGUGCAGGAAGACGCAUCUAUGGUGUGUAAACUGCUUUUGUACGGGAAGAAACACUCCCUCGUGAGGGAGCUUGACGGUACCGUAAGAAUAAGGAUCGGCUAACUCCGUGCCAGCAGCCGCGGUAAUACGGAGGAUCCAAGCGUUAUCCGGAAUCAUUGGGUUUAAAGGGUCCGUAGGCGGUUUAAUAAGUAAGUGGUGAAAGCCCAUCGCUCAACGAUGGAACGGCCAUUGAUACUGAUAGACUUGAAUUACAAGGAAGUAACUAGAAUAUGUAGUGUAGCGGUGAAAUGCUUAGAUAUUACAUGGAAUACCAAUUGCGAAGACAGGUUACUACUUGUGGAUUGACGCUGAUGGACGAAAGCGUGGGGAGCGAACAGGAUUAGAUACCCUAGUAGUCC
Molecule: ribosomal RNA, 445 nt
Filed under: uncultured bacterium
Lineage: Bacteria
Description: partial 16S ribosomal RNA
Rfam family: Bacterial small subunit ribosomal RNA
Source: RNAcentral